AUGGCGAUGCCGCAGAAGAGGCGCCGCCGCCGGAGGAGUCCUCUUCAGGAAGGAGUGUCCCGCCGGCGCCCUGGUGAAGAUGGCGCAUCGUUGUCUGGAUCCCUUGUCGAUUCGGAUAGCAGCAGCAGCCGUUUGGACGGAGGCUCUCCGCCGCCCGGACUCCCCGACGAGCCUGUUACAUCCUCAACAGAGUCAAGGUACCAUGAAAUCAUCGCCUCGCGCCUCGCCCAGUUGCAAUUACCAGUCGGCGACGACGGCUCGGAUAUGGCCGGUUUCUCAAAUCUCCCUUCCAUUGAAAUCCUCGAAGUCCUUGCUCGUAAAUCUUUCCACGAUGACUAUUCGCGAGCUGCUCUGCUAGAAUACCAAUGCCAGAAGUUCUUGAACGAGACCCAGGGACGAAAUACAGAUUCUGGAGAAUCUGAGUCGGCCAUUGUUGAUACGGGUUCCACUUACACUGAACCCGGCGAUGUUAUCACGGAGGUGGAACACAUGAGAGACUGUGAACUACUAGGGGCUGCCAUGGAUGAAAUUGACACUUGGACCAAACUGGACCAAGAGCAGGCCAACAAGCUCCAUCUCAAGUAUGCACUCUAUCGCAUCAAAGCUUGCCUGCUGUUGAAAGGAAAGCCGGUUGUCGAGCUGGAUGAUGAUGUUGCAUUGGAACGCAAGUACCCUCCAGAGCUUAUCGUGAAGAACAAGUACUUUUUUCACUAUGAGGAUGACCUCUUUGGUUGGUAUUUUGAUGCCGAACUCUGUUACAAAGCGUCCUUGAGCGACUACCAGCGGCUAGUCCUUUUAAAUGAUGGUGAUGAGUAUUCGAGUUGGAGAAGAUACCAAACAUUUUAUAGCACCCCUGAAGCUGAUAGAGAUUAUCUCAGCUACUGGGAAACAAUUGCGAAGGAACUUAAAUGGCUUGAGCAGUAUCUGCUGACAAACGAGUCUUCUAUCGAGUGGGCGCAUAAACAUUCAAAGGCUACGUUCCAAGCAAUUAGGAUCGCUUCUAAGUUUCCCUGCAUGACCCUGAAACUUGCAGCUGUUGGUUUACAUGAGUAUAUAUGGAAUGCGCGCAUACAUCUCAUGUUUGUGAAAGAUCUUGAUGGUAUCUUGUAUAAUAUUUGGAGGCGGCUCAAUGCGGAUCAUCAGCUGCGUUUCAGAGAUGCUCUCAAGCAAGUUUAUGAGGCUAACUUGUUUCCAGCACACGACCGCAGUAUGAAGUAUGAGCUGGAGUACGGCGAUUCCAAAAUGGACCUAGUAUUUGUUAAGUGCACGACGGGCCUUAGUGACGGUGUUCCAGAAGAUAGAGCCCGUGAGCUGAUUAAACAGGAAAUUCGCUGGACGCGUGAGUCGUCAGGAACGUAUGAGCGGUACGCCAGGAAGAAGCUCAAGAUUGCAGAACUGAUAGGAUUAAUUCCCAAGGACAAGAUAGCAACUGCGUAG
RNAcentral lists this ribosomal RNA (1437 nucleotides) under Triticum aestivum (bread wheat). RNAcentral describes it as "partial small subunit ribosomal RNA". Lineage: Eukaryota; Viridiplantae; Streptophyta; Magnoliopsida; Poales; Poaceae. The record is from RNAcentral.